GUUGAACUGUAGUGAUUUCCCUGAAGAAUCAGAUUAUACUCUAGGCAUUUUGUGUGCACCUGAGAGCAAUGUGGAUCAGUCUUACACAUAACACAAACACAAUAAGGCUAAAGGCUAUGCCAAUUCCAAGGGUUCCUUUGGUUUGACCAUCAGCAGCAACCGAUUCAGUUGUUUACUCUUUUCUCCCUGAUACAGUGUCUUCCCUUUACCUUAAAGAGAACGACCUUGCUAGUUCCUCUUCUUAGUCUCUUUUGAUGGUUCCUUUGUCUUAGUUUGUUCUCCACUUUCUCUCUCUUGAUGAUCUUGUCCAGUAUUAUGGGCUUUAAAUCCAUCUUCAGCCCCGACUUGUCUUUCAACUGCAACCUUAUAUAUACAAAUGCCUACUUGAUAUCUCCACUUAGAGGUUCAACAAGCAUCUGAAACUCAACAUGUCUAGAACUGAAUCUUCCUGAUCUUCCCCCAUCAUCCUUGCCCCUGUUUACCUACAGUCUUCCAAUCUGUGGUAGUUUUUAAAAAACGACUACAAAUUCUUUGAUAUUCCUCUCAUGAAAAAGUAUGGUCUAGGUUCCCUCCCCUUUAAUCUGGCUGGGCUUGGUGAUGCUUUGACCAACAGAAUACAUACAGUAGAAGUGAAACUCUAUGACUUCUGAGAUGAGGUCAUAAAAGGCUACGGAACUUCUGCUUGGUUCUCUUGGAUCACCUCCUCUUGGCAUGUUAGCUCUUGGGAUGCUCAGUCUGCAGAGCUCUCCUUGGGAAUUUGGCCUCCAUGUCGUAAGAAGUUCUAACCACCUGGAGAGACCAGCUUUGCACAGAUUAAAAACCUUUUUCUCUCAUCUAAACCACCUACAAAUCCUGCUGAUUCCAUCUAUCUUCAAAAUAUAUUCAGAAUUUGACCAUAGCUCACCAUCUCUACUGCUGACUGGAUCUGCAUCUCUUGAUUGGAUUUCUGCAACAGCCUUUAACAGGUCUCUCUGCUCCUGCCUUUAUUCCUGUUUCCUCUCCCGAUUAGUCUAUUCCCAACAGAACUGCCAGAAGGAGUCUUUAAAAUGUAAGUCAGAUUAUGUCACCGCUCUGUUAAACACCUUCCAGUAGCUUCCUCCUAAUUCAGAGUACAACCCAGAGUCCUUAAAGUGGCC
This 1136-nucleotide long non-coding RNA is filed under the name Equus caballus (horse). RNAcentral describes it as "lncRNA (ENSECAG00000053967.1)". Lineage: Eukaryota; Metazoa; Chordata; Mammalia; Perissodactyla; Equidae. The record is from RNAcentral.